CACCCCGGCAGCCCGGUCCCCCUGCACGCCUACGAAGCUGUUUCCCCUGCUAUGAUGCCAGGGCAGAUCCCCGACCCGUCCCUGACGGCUGGUGCGCUGCCUGGGCUCGGCCCUUUGACAGGACUGCCUGGCACAGCCCUGACUGCCGAGGAGCUGAAGUGCGCCGACAUCCGCAACAUCGGGGCCAUGAUCUCGCCGCUCCACUUCCUGGAGGUGAAGCUUGGGAAGAGACCCCAGCCUGUGAAAAGUGAGCUGGAUGAGGAAGAGGAGAGGAGGAAAAGGCGCCGGGAGAAAAACAAGGUAGCAGCAGCACGAUGUCGUAACAAGAAGAAGGAGAGGACGGAGUUCCUGCAGCGGGAGUCUGAGCGUCUAGAGCUCAUGAAUGCUGAACUGAAGGCCCAGAUAGAAGAGCUGAAACAGGAGAGGCAGCAGCUGAUCCUGAUGCUAAACCGGCACCGUCCCACCUGCAUCGUGCGGACAGACAGCAUCAAGACUCCCGAGAGUGAAGCUAACCCACUGCUGGAGCAGCUAGAGAAGAAGUGAAGGUGGCACUGGGCCAGGAGGAGGAGACAGUGGCGCAGGGUGUUCCAGGGUCUCUAAUGUAUGUACUGUAUGAAGAACUGUGCACCCAGACCUGGUGCGGACCCAGUGAGGACCCAGUGGGCUUCCUUGGGAACUAUGGACCAAAUAUGGGGACAGAACCUGCCAACCAUGUACUCUGAGGCUGAACCUGGGAGCAGGGCUAGUGGCACCAGUGAGGGAAACCUCCCUGUGAUACCUCACCGCAGCCCUGGGGACCCACGAUGCCACAUGUCCUGCAAGGACCACACACCCCGUGGGUAGCAGGGGCAGCAGGCAGAGGAGUGGCAGCUGCACGGUGCCCACUAGCACCCUGCCCAGAGGCUGCUGCUGCUCCUGGAGCAUGCUCCAGCAGGAAACCCAAACCCAAGAACCACAAACACUUGAUGCAGCCCCGUCUGGUGGGCAGGCCUGUCGGGGCUUGGUGGCGCAGGCGCCCCUCACAAGCACACUCAGUAUAAUGUUUACAGCCCAGCUGUCCGUGUCGGCCGUGCUUUUGAAUGCACAUUUUUACACUUUUUUAAAGUAUUUUUUACAAAGUUUUUAUACAGCAAUCUCUAUAAGGAUUUAUAUAAUCACUAGACGUGAUCCCAUAGAAAUGUCCCUCUGCUUCUGAGAUACUUGAGGUGCCUCAACAACCAGGACCACCAGCAGGAACUCCUGAUGUGCCAAACACCUCAUCUAGCACAUGCCUAUCUCCUGUUUUGUGAGAUCUAUGCUCAGGUCAUAACCCUUGUGCUCCUUCCCACACUCCCUAGUUCAGACCAGAGCUCUCCCCAGGGUGAUGUGGUACAAUAUUUUUCCUGAAUCCCAAGCAGGGAUAACUCCACCCCCAACCCUGAACCUGAAAAGGUGGCUGAGAAGAUAGAUUAAUUAAUAACCC
Corapipo altera (White-ruffed manakin) is the source of this 1462-nucleotide RNA transcript. It is a transcript of the gene named Jun dimerization protein 2, with no coding region annotated. Lineage: Eukaryota; Metazoa; Chordata; Aves; Passeriformes; Pipridae. The transcript has 6 exons. The record is from RefSeq and is a predicted model, not a curated record.